RNAcentral lists this transfer RNA (72 nucleotides) under Sphingomonas xinjiangensis. RNAcentral's name for it is "Sphingomonas sp. 10-1-84 tRNA". It matches the Rfam family "tRNA". Rfam says of the family: Transfer RNA (tRNA) molecules are approximately 80 nucleotides in length. Their secondary structure includes four short double-helical elements and three loops (D, anti-codon, and T loops). Lineage: Bacteria; Pseudomonadati; Pseudomonadota; Alphaproteobacteria; Sphingomonadales; Sphingomonadaceae. The record is from Rfam by way of RNAcentral.
GCUGGGGUAGCUCAGCGGUAAAGCGCCCGCCUCGCAAGCGGCCGGCUGCGGGUUCAAGUCCCGCAGCCGGCU